Long non-coding RNA from Solanum tuberosum (potato), 611 nucleotides. RefSeq lists it as uncharacterized. The transcript has 2 exons. NCBI's taxonomy places the organism in Eukaryota, Viridiplantae, Streptophyta, Magnoliopsida, Solanales, Solanaceae. The record is from RefSeq and is a predicted model, not a curated record.
UAUCACUAGACAUAGUUAAAGAGUACUCAGUACUCUCUUGUAUCUUUGCCGCCUUGUGUGAUGUUUCUUUUGAGGUGGAAUCGGCACUUUGCAAUCUUCAAGCUCCAUCCUUGGUUGUUGUUAGAAUGACUCUGUGUAUCUUCUUCCUUAGCCUCCGGUGAGUCCAUUCUUUUCAUUUCCUUCUCGCCAUGUUUGUUGUCUCCAGGUGGUGGAUUGAAAUUGAAGCUGACGGUGGUGGUGGGACGCCAAACAACCCCUCUUUUUGAUGAAGCUUUUUGGUAGCUAGGGGAGCUAGCUAGGUGGCAGGGACAUUAGUCAACUCAAAAGAUAUCACUAGGAACUCCUCAUGACCAUAACAAGUCCUAAAUGCAGUCUUAGGUUUGUCUGUUUCCCUAAUCCUCAGUUGAUGGUAACCGAAUAUCAAAUCAAUCUUAAAAAACACUACGACACCUUGAAGUUAGUCAAAUAGAUCAUCAUUAUGAGACAUAUGGUAAGGGUAUAUAUAUUUUCUUAUUAAAUGUAUUUUGGAUUAAAUUGUAUACUUUGAUUGUGUUGUAAGAUUUACUUGUGUUAAUUUGUAGACCAUGAAUUAAAGUGACAUUUUCUUUCAA